GCCCGGCUAGCUCAAUCGGUAGAGCGUGAGACUCUUAUUCAAAAGGUUCACAUCUCAAGGUUGUGGGUUCGACCCCCACGUCGGGCU
Molecule: non-coding RNA, 87 nt
Organism: Chaetomium sp. MPI-CAGE-AT-0009
Lineage: Eukaryota; Fungi; Ascomycota; Sordariomycetes; Sordariales; Chaetomiaceae
Source: the annotation of a GenBank genome assembly